This 3086-nucleotide ribosomal RNA is filed under the name Salmonella enterica. Its description in RNAcentral is "bacterial LSU rRNA". It matches the Rfam family "Bacterial large subunit ribosomal RNA". Lineage: Bacteria; Pseudomonadati; Pseudomonadota; Gammaproteobacteria; Enterobacterales; Enterobacteriaceae. The record is from RNAcentral.
UUAAGCGACCAAGCGUACACGGUGGAUGCCCUGGCAGUCAGAGGCGAUGAAGGACGUGCUAAUCUGCGAAAAGCGCCGGUAAGGUGAUAUGAACCGUUAUAACCGGCGAUGUCCGAAUGGGGAAACCCAGUGUGACUCGUCACACUAUCAUUAACUGAAUCCAUAGGUUAAUGAGGCGAACCGGGGGAACUGAAACAUCUAAGUACCCCGAGGAAAAGAAAUCAACCGAGAUUCCCCCAGUAGCGGCGAGCGAACGGGGAGGAGCCCAGAGCCUGAAUCAGCAUGUGUGUUAGUGGAAGCGUCUGGAAAGGCGCGCGAUACAGGGUGAGAGCCCCGUACACAAAAGCGCAUGUGCUGUGAGCUCGAUGAGUAGGGCGGGACACGUGGUAUCCUGUCUGAAUAUGGGGGGACCAUCCUCCAAGGCUAAAUACUCCUGACUGACCGAUAGUGAACCAGUACCGUGAGGGAAAGGCGAAAAGAACCCCGGCGAGGGGAGUGAAAAAGAACCUGAAACCGUGUACGUACAAGCAGUGGGAGCCCCACCACUAAGCCAGUGGUGAACUCCACAUACGCAUCCUUUGCGGAAGAUACGGUUAACGGAGCGAAAGCGACGUUCAACCGCAAAAGAAGCAGAGGGGGCUUAGUGGUGGGGUGACUGCGUACCUUUUGUAUAAUGGGUCAGCGACUUAUAUUCUGUAGCAAGGUUAACCGCAUAGGGGAGCCGAAGGGAAACCGAGUCUUAAUUGGGCGUUAAGUUGCAGGGUAUAGACCCGAAACCCGGUGAUCUAGCCAUGGGCAGGUUGAAGGUUGGGUAACACUAACUGGAGGACCGAACCGACUAAUGUUGAAAAAUUAGCGGAUGACCUGUGGCUGGGGGUGAAAGGCCAAUCAAACCGGGAGAUAGCUGGUUCUCCCCGAAAGCUAUUUAGGUAGCGCCUCGUGAAUUCAUCUCCGGGGGUAGAGCACUGUUUCGGCUAGGGGGCCAUCCCGGCUUACCAACCCGAUGCAAACUGCGAAUACCGGAGAAUGUUAUCACGGGAGACACACGGCGGGUGCUAACGUCCGUCGUGAAGAGGGAAACAACCCAGACCGCCAGCUAAGGUCCCAAAGUCAUGGUUAAGUGGGAAACGAUGUGGGAAGGCCCAGACAGCCAGGAUGUUGGCUUAGAAGCAGCCAUCAUUUAAAGAAAGCGUAAUAGCUCACUGGUCGAGUCGGCCUGCGCGGAAGAUGUAACGGGGCUAAACCAUGCACCGAAGCUGCGGCAGCGAACGUAUCACUUAAAACGAUUCAGAAGGUUACGAUUGACGGAGCGAAGCGACGUCAAAGCGUAUACAAAGUCGAGUCGGUUUAAGGAUACGUUCGUUGGGUAGGGGAGCGUUCUGUAAGCCGCAGAAGGUGGCCUGUGAGGGUUGCUGGAGGUAUCAGAAGUGCGAAUGCUGACAUAAGUAACGAUAAAGCGGGUGAAAAGCCCGCUCGCCGGAAGACCAAGGGUUCCUGUCCAACGUUAAUCGGGGCAGGGUGAGUCGACCCCUAAGGCGAGGCCGAAAGGCGUAGUCGAUGGGAAACAGGUUAAUAUUCCUGUACUUGGUGUUACUGCGAAGGGGGGACGGAGAAGGCUAUGUUGGCCGGGCGACGGUUGUCCCGGUUUAAGCGUGUAGGUGUGUGUUCCAGGUAAAUCCGGUUCACUUUAACACUGAGGCGUGACGACGAGGCACUACGGUGCUGAAGCAACAAAUGCCCUGCUUCCAGGAAAAGCCUCUAAGCAUCAGGUAACAUCAAAUCGUACCCCAAACCGACACAGGUGGUCAGGUAGAGAAUACCAAGGCGCUUGAGAGAACUCGGGUGAAGGAACUAGGCAAAAUGGUGCCGUAACUUCGGGAGAAGGCACGCUGACAUGUAGGUGAAGUGAUUUACUCACGGAGCUGAAGUCAGUCGAAGAUACCAGCUGGCUGCAACUGUUUAUUAAAAACACAGCACUGUGCAAACACGAAAGUGGACGUAUACGGUGUGACGCCUGCCCGGUGCCGGAAGGUUAAUUGAUGGGGUCAGCGCAAGCGAAGCUCCUGAUCGAAGCCCCGGUAAACGGCGGCCGUAACUAUAACGGUCCUAAGGUAGCGAAAUUCCUUGUCGGGUAAGUUCCGACCUGCACGAAUGGCGUAAUGAUGGCCAGGCUGUCUCCACCCGAGACUCAGUGAAAUUGAACUCGCUGUGAAGAUGCAGUGUACCCGCGGCAAGACGGAAAGACCCCGUGAACCUUUACUAUAGCUUGACACUGAACAUUGAGCCUUGAUGUGUAGGAUAGGUGGGAGGCUUUGAAGCGUGGACGCCAGUCUGCGUGGAGCCAACCUUGAAAUACCACCCUUUAAUGUUUGAUGUUCUAACGUGGACCCGUAAUCCGGGUUGCGGACAGUGUCUGGUGGGUAGUUUGACUGGGGCGGUCUCCUCCUAAAGAGUAACGGAGGAGCACGAAGGUUGGCUAAUCCUGGUCGGACAUCAGGAGGUUAGUGCAAUGGCAUAAGCCAGCUUGACUGCGAGCGUGACGGCGCGAGCAGGUGCGAAAGCAGGUCAUAGUGAUCCGGUGGUUCUGAAUGGAAGGGCCAUCGCUCAACGGAUAAAAGGUACUCCGGGGAUAACAGGCUGAUACCGCCCAAGAGUUCAUAUCGACGGCGGUGUUUGGCACCUCGAUGUCGGCUCAUCACAUCCUGGGGCUGAAGUAGGUCCCAAGGGUAUGGCUGUUCGCCAUUUAAAGUGGUACGCGAGCUGGGUUUAGAACGUCGUGAGACAGUUCGGUCCCUAUCUGCCGUGGGCGCUGGAAGAUUGAGGGGGGCUGCUCCUAGUACGAGAGGACCGGAGUGGACGCAUCACUGGUGUUCGGGUUGUCAUGCCAAUGGCACUGCCCGGUAGCUAAAUGCGGAAAAGAUAAGUGCUGAAAGCAUCUAAGCACGAAACUUGCCCCGAGAUGAGUCUUCCCUGAGACUUUAAGUCUCCUGAAGGAACGUUGAAGACGACGACGUUGAUAGGCCGGGUGUGUAAGCGCAGCGAUGCGUUGAGCUAACCGGUACUAAUGAACCGUGAGGCUUAACCUU